This 220-nucleotide long non-coding RNA is filed under the name Nicotiana benthamiana. RNAcentral describes it as "long non-coding RNA (NBEN_LNC008613)". The record is from RNAcentral. Lineage: Eukaryota; Viridiplantae; Streptophyta; Magnoliopsida; Solanales; Solanaceae.
UGCAAUAUUUCUUGGUUUUUUUCAUAAAAUAAAAAGCAUACCCUAAUUAUAUGUAUGGUUAUAGAUUUAUAUAAAAACCUACAAUUUUAUUAAAAUAAACCUAAAAAUUGAUUUGGUAGGAUACGAUUUCGUCGGCUUUUAAAUAUCCAUUAACUCCCCUAGUUUGAACAACACAUUUUAAACUUUGGAAACAAUUUAUUGAGCUUGAACUAAUAAAAAU